RNAcentral lists this ribosomal RNA (406 nucleotides) under uncultured bacterium. RNAcentral's name for it is "partial 16S ribosomal RNA". It matches the Rfam family "Bacterial small subunit ribosomal RNA", at positions 30 to 526 of the family's 1533-position model. The record is from RNAcentral.
AUUGAACGCUGGCGGCAUGCUUUACACAUGCAAGUCGGACGAGUGGCGAACGGGUGAGUAACGCAUCGGAACGUACCGAGUAAUGGGGGAUAACUGUCCGAAAGGACAGCUAAUACCGCCUAUUAUUCGAGCGGCCGAUGUCUGAUUCGCUGGUUUGCGGGGUAACGGCCCACCAAGGCGACGAUCAGUAGCGGGUCUGAGAGGAUGAUCCGACAAACGGUGACUGAGACACGGCCCAGACUCAUACGUGAGGCAGAAGUGGGGAAUUUUGGACAAUGGGCGCAAGCCUGAUCCAGCCAUGCCGCGUGUCGGAAGAAGGCCUUCGGGUUGUAAAGGACUUUUGGCAGGGAAGCGGUACCUGAAGAAUAAGCACCGGCUAACUACGUGCCAGCAGCCGCGGUAAUUC